AACGAACGCUGGCGGCAUGCCUAACACAUGCAAGUCGAACGAGACCUUCGGGUCUAGUGGCGCACGGGUGCGUAACGCGUGGGAACCUGCCCUUAGGUUCGGAAUAACUCCCCGAAAGGGGUGCUAAUACCGGAUAAUGUCUUCGGACCAAAGAUUUAUCGCCUUUGGAUGGGCUCGCGUUGGAUUAGCUAGUUGGUAGGGUAAAAGCCUACCACGGCGACGAUCCAUAGCUGGUCUGAGAGGAUGAUCAGCCACACUGGGACUGAGACACGGCCCAGACUCCUACGGGAGGCAGCAGUGGGGGAUAUUGGACAAUGGGCGAAAGCCUGAACCAGCAAUGCCGCGUGAGUGAUGAAGGCCUUAGGGUUGUAAAGCACUUUUACCCGGGAUGAUAAUGACAGUACCGGGAGAAUAAGCUCCGGCUAACUCCGUG
RNAcentral lists this ribosomal RNA (433 nucleotides) under uncultured bacterium. Its description in RNAcentral is "partial 16S ribosomal RNA". It matches the Rfam family "Bacterial small subunit ribosomal RNA", at positions 29 to 507 of the family's 1533-position model. The record is from RNAcentral.